AUUGAACGCUGGCGGCAGGCCUAACACAUGCAAGUCGAGCGGAUGAAGGGAGCUUGCUCCUGGAUUCAGCGGCGGACGGGUGAGUAAUGCCUAGGAAUCUGCCUGGUAGUGGGGGAUAACGUCCGGACACGGGCGCUAAUACCGCAUACGUCCUGAGGGAGAAAGUGGGGGAUCUUCGGACCUCACGCUAUCAGAUGAGCCUAGGUCGGAUUAGCUAGUUGGUGGGGUAAAGGCCUACCAAGGCGACGAUCCGUAACUGGUCUGAGAGGAUGAUCAGUCACACUGGAACUGAGACACGGUCCAGACUCCUACGGGAGGCAGCAGUGGGGAAUAUUGGACAAUGGGCGAAAGCCUGAUCCAGCCAUGCCGCGUGUGUGAAGAAGGUCUUCGGAUUGUAAAGCACUUUAAGUUGGGAGGAAGGGCAGUAAGUUAAUACCUUGCUGUUUUGACGUUACCAACAGAAUAAGCGCCGGCUAACUUCGUG
This 484-nucleotide ribosomal RNA is filed under the name uncultured bacterium. RNAcentral describes it as "partial 16S ribosomal RNA". It matches the Rfam family "Bacterial small subunit ribosomal RNA", at positions 30 to 507 of the family's 1533-position model. The record is from RNAcentral.